GACGAACGCUGGCGGCGUGCUUAACACAUGCAAGUCGAACGGAAAGGCCCUGCUUUUGUGGGGUGCUCGAGUGGCGAACGGGUGAGUAACACGUGAGUAACCUGCCCUUGACUUUGGGAUAACUUCAGGAAACUGGGGCUAAUACCGGAUAGGAGCUCCUGCGGCAUGGUGGGGGUUGGAAAGUUUCGGCGGUUGGGGAUGGACUCGCGGCUUAUCAGCUUGUUGGUGGGGUAGUGGCUUACCAAGGCUUUGACGGGUAGCCGGCCUGAGAGGGUGACCGGCCACAUUGGGACUGAGAUACGGCCCAGACUCCUACGGGCGGCAGCAGUGGGGAAUAUUGCACAAUGGGCGGAAGCCUGAUGCAGCAACGCCGCGUGCGGGAUGACGGCCUUCGGGUUGUAAACCGCUUUCGCCUGUGACGAAGCGUGAGUGACGGUAAUGGGUAAAGAAGCACCGGCUAACUACGUG
RNAcentral lists this ribosomal RNA (468 nucleotides) under uncultured bacterium. RNAcentral describes it as "partial 16S ribosomal RNA". It matches the Rfam family "Bacterial small subunit ribosomal RNA", at positions 28 to 507 of the family's 1533-position model. The record is from RNAcentral.